CAUUGAAAAUUCUGAACUCCUUCAUCCAUCUGUGUAAAGCACUAAAGCAAAACAAAAUGGUACCAUCUGCAGAGGAUUCUCAAGUGAACUUAGCUGAAAGUCUAGCUCCAUCACUUACUGACUCUACAGACAGAUCAAAGGACUUGCUUGAUACAUUUCACGGGUCUGCAGCUCCUCACAGAUGAGCCUGAAGCAAGACCAGCGGUCCUCACCAGCACUGACUGCCCACUCCCAAAUGUCAUGGCUGAGGCUGGAGCUGCCAGGCAGCUAAGGCUGC
RNAcentral lists this long non-coding RNA (277 nucleotides) under Dromaius novaehollandiae (emu). Its description in RNAcentral is "lncRNA (ENSDNVG00000001654.1)". Lineage: Eukaryota; Metazoa; Chordata; Aves; Casuariiformes; Dromaiidae. The record is from RNAcentral.